This 814-nucleotide long non-coding RNA is filed under the name Homo sapiens (human). RNAcentral describes it as "non-protein coding LINC01524:5". The record is from RNAcentral. Lineage: Eukaryota; Metazoa; Chordata; Mammalia; Primates; Hominidae.
CUUCCGCUUCUGCUGUCUUGAUGACGCACAGUGCUGGCGCAAGUCGUCUUGCGCCAGGCGACUGGGUCUGAGGAGGCAGGAGUUAUUCAUUCCCUUAAGCUUUCAGGCCGGGGGGAGAAUCUUUCAGGUGGUAGCUGCAAGAACUCUUAGUAUGUUGACCUCACCUCUGCCUUCCACAUACCACUACCAGUGAGGAAUUAGGAAUGCAUGAGAAGAGUGUCCAAGAAGAGUGUCCUCAUUCAUGCAAGGCUUAAGAGAGAAUGCAGGUCAACAUCACCAUGUCAAUCAGAGAAUACUUCUGUUGGGUUGAAUGACUCUCUGCCCCCAGGUGCAGAUGCUGAGAGCACUUUCUAGUCAAGUCCUGCAUGUUCAUUUCUGUCUCAAGUCAGCUUCUCUGAGAAUCCAAUUUAUAAAAAUAUAUUUGUGAAUGUAUAAGUAAAGUGACUUGGAUUUUGUCUACGUACAAGGACUUCUAUGCCUGCAUAAAACAGUCUGACUGGUUGGAAGAGGCCCUUUUCCCAGCCUUUGUAGUGUUUUGCUGCUACAUGAAGGUGCACAUGUCUGGGAAGGCUCAGGAAUGGAUGUUGACAUCAUGUCAUAAACCCCUAUUGUGGUUUCAGUCAUUUGUGGAAUGGUUGCAGAUGGCGAUCAACUGAAGAACGGAUUUGUGGCGUUGUUGGUCUCACCAUGUGAUACAUUGGCUCCCAGUCACCUUCUGCCAUGAUUGUAAGCUUCCUGAGGCCCUCACCAGAAGGUGAACAGAUGCUGGCACUAUGUUUCCUGUACAACCUGUAGAACCAUGAGCUGAUAAAAC